RNAcentral lists this unclassified non-coding RNA (251 nucleotides) under Hevea brasiliensis (rubber tree). Lineage: Eukaryota; Viridiplantae; Streptophyta; Magnoliopsida; Malpighiales; Euphorbiaceae. The record is from RNAcentral.
UUUUUUUUUAGAAAAAAAAAAAAAGAAAAUUAGUGACUGAUUUUUUAUUUCUGUUUUGCAAUGGGAAUGCUACACAUCGUUUUCUUUGGACUGUGUAAAGUUGAGAUCCAUGAAAGAUGAUCAUGUGCUCAUCCGUGAUUUCUUCUUUUUCUUUUUUUAAUUUUUAUAUUCAACUUUUGUUGGAUCAUGUAGAAUACGUAAUGAGUAACUGCAGGAUGAUAUUCCUUUUUUCUUCCUCUCUUGACCAAUGG